AACGAACGCUGGCGGCAUGCCUAACACAUGCAAGUCGAACGAGACCUUCGGGGCUAGUGGCGCACGGUUGCGUAACGCGUGGGAACCUGCCCUUAGGUUCGGAAUAACUCCCCGAAAGGGGUGCUAAUACCGGAUUAUGUCUUCGGACCAAAGAUUUAUCGCCUUUGGAUGGGCCCGCGUUGGAUUAGCUAGUUGGUAGGGUAAAAGCCUACCAAGGCGACGAUCCAUAGCUGGUCUGAGAGGAUGAUCAGCAACACUGGGACUGAGACACGGCCCAGACUCCUACGGGAGGCAGCAGUGGGGAAUAUUGGACAAUGGGCGAAAGCCUGAUCCAGCAAUGCCGCGUGAGUGAUGAAGGCCUUAGGGUUGUAAAGCUCUUUUACCAGGGAUGAUAAUGACAGUACCGGGAGAAUAAGCGCCGGCUAACUCCGUG
Molecule: ribosomal RNA, 433 nt
Filed under: uncultured bacterium
Lineage: Bacteria
Description: partial 16S ribosomal RNA
Rfam family: Bacterial small subunit ribosomal RNA
Source: RNAcentral